UGAGCUACAAGCUAGAUUGGCUGAUAAACGUUUUCAAUUUUCUUGCCACCACCUGAAAUACGAUAUUAAUAACCAAUUUAUCCUCUAUCUAAUCAAGAAACCUUAAUAUCUAAUGAUAGAACUUAAAAUUAAAUUUUCUGGACACUUGAAUAAGUUCUCAAAUUUUCCUUUAUUAAUUGGAGCUAAUCACACUUUAUAAUCCAUUGCUAAUAACUAAUUUAUCAACAUAACCUUCACUUCCAAACAUCACUAUGACAUCCACAUCAUUCAAGUGACAAGAAGUUGCUAUAAUUCAACUAAUUAAAAUUUUCCUUUUGUUCUAUAAUUUCAUGCCUCGAAAUAAUUAUUUUCUCAACAUCAUCAUUUCCAUAAAUAUACUUAAUCCCAAAUAAAAUUUCUAGGGUUUGCUAAAAUAAUAUCCCUUACCUAGCUGAAAUUGGAAAUGAAGAAAUCCCCAAACUUGAGCUCCAAUUCGUACAAAUAUCACCUAAAAUUCGACAUUUUAUUCUACAAGUUAAAACCCUAAAAAUUUAAUAUAAAUCAUACUUAAUCACUUUAAAACAAGUAGAAAAAUUAAACCCAACUUGAAGAGAUUAACCUCGCCUCUUUUCUUCUUCUUUUUCCUUUCUUCUUUUCCUUUUCUUUUUUCUUUUUCCUUUCUUCUUUCCCUUCUGCCGGUCUCUGCUUCUCGUUACUGUGUGUGUGUG
This 707-nucleotide long non-coding RNA is filed under the name Olea europaea (common olive). RNAcentral describes it as "long non-coding RNA (OEUR_LNC003893)". Lineage: Eukaryota; Viridiplantae; Streptophyta; Magnoliopsida; Lamiales; Oleaceae. The record is from RNAcentral.